AGAAUCAACGCUGGCGGCGUGCCUCAGACAUGCAAGUCGUACGAUUAAAGCUCUCUUCGGAGAGUGCAUAAAGUGGCGUACGGGUGAGUAACACGUAAGUAAUCUACCUUUGAGUGGGGAAUAACAGUCGGAAACGACUGCUAAUACCGCAUAAUGCAGCGGCUCGACAUCGAGACAGUUGUUAAAGAAUUUAUUCGCUUAAAGAGGAGCUUGCGGCAGAUUAGCUAGUUGGUAAGGUAAUGGCUUACCAAGGCAACGAUCUGUA
This 265-nucleotide ribosomal RNA is filed under the name uncultured bacterium. Its description in RNAcentral is "partial small subunit ribosomal RNA". It matches the Rfam family "Bacterial small subunit ribosomal RNA", at positions 26 to 285 of the family's 1533-position model. The record is from RNAcentral.